RNAcentral lists this ribosomal RNA (1346 nucleotides) under uncultured bacterium. RNAcentral describes it as "bacterial SSU rRNA". It matches the Rfam family "Bacterial small subunit ribosomal RNA", at positions 28 to 1381 of the family's 1533-position model. The record is from RNAcentral.
GACGAACGCUGGCGGCGUGCUUAACACAUGCAAGUCGAACGGAAAGGCCCUGCUUUUGUGGGGUGCUCGAGUGGCGAACGGGUGAGUAACACGUGAGUAACCUGCCCUUGACUUUGGGAUAACUUCAGGAAACUGGGGCUAAUACCGGAUAGGAGCUCCUGCUGCAUGGUGGGGGUUGGAAAGUUUCGGCGGUUGGGGAUGGACUCGCGGCUUAUCAGCUUGUUGGUGGGGUAGUGGCUUACCAAGGCUUUGACGGGUAGCCGGCCUGAGAGGGUGACCGGCCACAUUGGGACUGAGAUACGGCCCAGACUCCUACGGGAGGCAGCAGUGGGGAAUAUUGCACAAUGGGCGGAAGCCUGAUGCAGCAACGCCGCGUGCGGGAUGACGGCCUUCGGGUUGUAAACUGCUUUCGCCUGUGACGAAGCGUGAGUGACGGUAAUGGGUAAAGAAGCACCGGCUAACUACGUGCCAGCAGCCGCGGUGAUACGUAGGGUGCGAGCGUUGUCCGGAUUUAUUGGGCGUAAAGGGCUCGUAGGUGGUUGAUCGCGUCGGAAGUGUAAUCUUGGGGCUUAACCCUGAGCGUGCUUUCGAUACGGGUUGACUUGAGGAAGGUAGGGGAGAAUGGAAUUCCUGGUGGAGCGGUGGAAUACGCAGAUAUCAGGAGGAACACCAGUGGCGAAGGCGGUUCUCUGGGCCUUUCCUGACGCUGAGGAGCGAAAGCGUGGGGAGCGAACAGGCUUAGAUACCCUGGUAGUCCACGCUGUAAACGGUGGGUACUAGGUGUGGGGUCCAUUCCACGGGUUCCGUGCCGUAGCUAACGCUUUAAGUACCCCGCCUGGGGAGUACGGCCGCAAGGCUAAAACUCAAAGGAAUUGACGGGGCCCCGCACAAGCGGCGGAGCAUGCGGAUUAAUUCGAUGCAACGCGUAGAACCUUACCUGGGUUUGACAUGGAUCGGGAGCGCUCAGAGAUGGGUGUGCCUCUUUUGGGGUCGGUUCACAGGUGGUGCAUGGCUGUCGUCAGCUCGUGUCGUGAGAUGUUGGGUUAAGUCCCGCAACGAGCGCAACCCUUGUUCACUGUUGCCAGCACGUUAUGGUGGGGACUCAGUGGAGACCGCCGGGGUCAACUCGGAGGAAGGUGGGGAUGACGUCAAGUCAUCAUGCCCCUUAUGUCCAGGGCUUCACGCAUGCUACAAUGGCUGGUACAGAGAGUGGCGAGCCUGUGAGGGUGAGCGAAUCUCGGAAAGCCGGUCUCAGUUCGGAUUGGGGUCUGCAACUCGACCUCAUGAAGUCGGAGUCGCUAGUAAUCGCAGAUCAGCAACGCUGCGGUGAAUACGUUCCCGGGGCU